UACAGAGGGGGCAAGCGUUGUUCGGAAUUACUGGGCGUAAAGGGCGCGUAGGCGGCCUUCUAAGUCAUGCGUGAAAUCCCCGGGCUUAACCCGGGAAUUGUGUUUGAUAUUGGAAGGCUUGAAUCCGGGAGAGGGAUGUGGAAUUCCAGGUGUAGCGGUGAAAUGCGUAGAUAUCUGGAGGAACACCGGUGGCGAAGGCGGCAUCCUGGACCGGUAUUGACGCUGAGGCGCGAAAGCCAGGGGAGCAAACGGG
This 253-nucleotide ribosomal RNA is filed under the name uncultured bacterium. Its description in RNAcentral is "partial 16S ribosomal RNA". It matches the Rfam family "Bacterial small subunit ribosomal RNA", at positions 524 to 776 of the family's 1533-position model. The record is from RNAcentral.